GAGUCGAGCUUAAGCGAGCUUAUCUUAGCUCAAGCUUAGCCUGAAAUUAAUUUUGAGCCUAAAUUUAGGCUCAAGCUCGGCUUAAAAUUAACUCGAGCUAAGCUCAAGCAAGUCUAACUUUAAGUCGAGUGAGCUCAAGCCCUAAACGAGCUAAUUGAAAUUCUUAACAUCAUGCGAUCUAUAGUUUAAUUUUUAUAAAAUAUUAUCAAAAAUUUGAUACAAAAAAUUGUCUAAUAGUUCAACAUACAAAAUGAAUACAUGAAAUAGGAUUUCGAUAAUAUUAAAAAAAAUAGGGGAAGUGACUUUGAGAGCAAAUGAAAGAGAGAAAGAGCAAUUAGAAUAGGUUUUGUUGGUUUGAUUUUGUAGACCAGUAAAUAUGCCGAAUAACCUAAACUCUAUAGGCAUAUAAUUAAAAAACAUAAUAUACAUGAUUAUAUGUAAUUAAAAUAUAUAUUAUAUAUAAUGAAUUUGGCUGGAAUAUUAUUAAUAGUACCAAGUCAUUGGUGCCAUAUUAGGUUUUCAGCCCUUAGAUGAAAAAAAUAUAUGGUUAAGAUAAUAGUAAUCUUUGGUUAGAUUGAUAGUGGUCCCAUAGGAUUGAGUGGGUGGCUGGUUAAAUUUUACAAUCUAACAGUUAAAAAUGAUGAAAGAGAUAAAUCUAACAGCAGAAAAUUCGGUAAUACCAAGCGUUUGGUGCUAUCUAUAGUAUACCAGGCAGACUAUAUAUAUAUAUAUAUAUAUAUAUAU
Molecule: long non-coding RNA, 744 nt
Filed under: Ananas comosus (pineapple)
Lineage: Eukaryota; Viridiplantae; Streptophyta; Magnoliopsida; Poales; Bromeliaceae
Description: long non-coding RNA (ACOM_LNC001762)
Source: RNAcentral